CAUACUAAAAUGAUUACAAGUUUUCAUCCAAUGUAACAUGUACUCUAUAAAAUAUCCCACUUCAUUGUUCCUAUUCAUCCAACCAUAUUAUCAGCCUUUCAUUUUGUUUUCUGCUUGAUUCUUUUUGUUCCAAGUUGUUGACACUCUACAAAUUUAUUUUCCUUCUCUUUCUUCAUCAAAUCUUGCAUCCUUUUACAGUAUUGAACUUUUUGUC
Molecule: long non-coding RNA, 214 nt
Filed under: Medicago truncatula (barrel medic)
Lineage: Eukaryota; Viridiplantae; Streptophyta; Magnoliopsida; Fabales; Fabaceae
Description: long non-coding RNA (MTRU_LNC006175)
Source: RNAcentral